Protomyces lactucae-debilis is the source of this 97-nucleotide non-coding RNA. NCBI's taxonomy places the organism in Eukaryota, Fungi, Ascomycota, Taphrinomycetes, Taphrinales, Protomycetaceae. The record is from the annotation of a RefSeq genome assembly.
UUCGGGUUGGCGCAACGGUAGCGCGCAAGGCUCAUAUCGAUCUCGUUGAGAGUUCGAAGAUACCUUGAUGUAGCUGGAUCGACACCAGCACUCGAAA